GCCCUAGUAGCUCAGAGUUAGAGCG
This 25-nucleotide transfer RNA is filed under the name Belontia signata. RNAcentral describes it as "partial tRNA-Thr". The record is from RNAcentral. Lineage: Eukaryota; Metazoa; Chordata; Actinopteri; Anabantiformes; Osphronemidae.